AUUGAACGCUGGCGGCAGGCCUAACACAUGCAAGUCGAACGGUAACAGGAAGACGCUUGCUUCUUUGCUGACGAGUGGCGGACGGGUGAGUAAUGUCUGGGAAACUGCCUGAUGGAGGGGGAUAACUACUGGAAACGGUAGCUAAUACCGCAUAACGUCGCAAGACCAAAGAGGGGGACCUUCGGGCCUCUUGCCAUCGGCUGUGCCCAGAUGGGAUUAGCUAGUAGGUGGGGUAACGGCUCACCUAGGCGACGGUCCCUAGCUGGUCUGAGAGGUUGACCAGCCACACUGGAACUGAGACACGGUCCAGACUCCUACGGGAGGCAGCAGUGGGGAAUAUUGCACAAUGGGCGCAAGCCUGAUGCAGCCAUGCCGCGUGUAUGAAGAAGGCCUUCGGAUUGUAAAGUACUGUCAGCGGGGAGGAAGGGAGUAAAGUUAAUACCUUUGCUCAUUGACGUUACCCGCAGAAGAAGCACCGGCUAACUCCGUG
RNAcentral lists this ribosomal RNA (490 nucleotides) under uncultured bacterium. RNAcentral's name for it is "partial 16S ribosomal RNA". It matches the Rfam family "Bacterial small subunit ribosomal RNA", at positions 30 to 507 of the family's 1533-position model. The record is from RNAcentral.